UAUUUAAAUGCUGCGUGCCUUUUGACGUGUUCUAUGGUUUGGUUUCAAUGGGCGUACGUGCGCGUAAACAUUGAGUAGCAUUCAAAGCUAUCUGAUUCAAAGACAGGAGCGCGCGCGAGCAGAUGGAAACCAUGGAAACGAGGAAACCUCAUCAACUGACAAACAGCAAAACUAGCGUCUCUCACUGUUGUUUUCACUGCUUUCAGGUAAGUUUAGUUACCAAAAUCACACAAAUAAUACAUACAAACGUUCCUGACAUCUUUCUUACGUGUAAUUGAUACACUUCUGUUGAAUAUUUACUUUAUAGAAAUGGUUUGUGUCUUCGAAAAAGUCCGUUAGCAUCUCAACCGUUUUCAGAAGAGCUAACAAGAUCAUCAUGCUGAUGGCCUGCUGCACCCCCUGUCCAAGACAAUCUCCACGGCUAUGAACUCGACUAGUGUGUUUUUAAUUAUGUUGGCCAAUGAGGCAGACACCAUACUGUCCAACUCAAAGGUA
Long non-coding RNA from Rhinichthys klamathensis goyatoka, 495 nucleotides. RefSeq lists it as uncharacterized. The record is from RefSeq and is a predicted model, not a curated record. The transcript is spliced from 3 exons. Lineage: Eukaryota; Metazoa; Chordata; Actinopteri; Cypriniformes; Leuciscidae.